GACGAACGCUGGCGGCGUGCUCAACACAUGCAAGUCGAACGGAAAGGCCCCCUUGUGGGGUACUCGAGUGGCGAACGGGUGAGUAACACGUGAGUAACCUACCCUUGACUUUGGGAUAACUUCAGGAAACUGGGGCUAAUACCGGAUAGGAGCUCCUGCUGCAUGGUGGGGGUUGGAAAGUUUCGGCGGUUGGGGAUGGACUCGCGGCUUAUCAGCUUGUUGGUGGGGUAGUGGCUCACCAAGGCUUUGACGGGUAGCCGGCCUGAGAGGGUGACCGGCCACAUUGGGACUGAGAUACGGCCCAGACUCCUACGGGAGGCAGCAGUGGGGAAUAUUGCACAAUGGGCGGAAGCCUGAUGCAGCAACGCCGCGUGCGGGAUGACGGCCUUCGGGUUGUAAACCGCUUUCGCCUGUGACGAAGCGUGAGUGACGGUAAUGGGUAAAGAAGCACCGGCUAACUACGU
This 464-nucleotide ribosomal RNA is filed under the name uncultured bacterium. RNAcentral describes it as "partial 16S ribosomal RNA". It matches the Rfam family "Bacterial small subunit ribosomal RNA", at positions 28 to 506 of the family's 1533-position model. The record is from RNAcentral.